Molecule: ribosomal RNA, 254 nt
Filed under: uncultured bacterium
Lineage: Bacteria
Description: partial 16S ribosomal RNA
Rfam family: Bacterial small subunit ribosomal RNA
Source: RNAcentral
UACGGGGGGAGCAAGCGUUGUUCGGAUUUACUGGGCGUAAAGGGCGCGUAGGCGGUCGUGACAAGUCACUUGUGAAAUCUCCGGGCUUAACUCGGAAAGGUCAAGUGAUACUGUCGGACUAGAGUACAGAAGGGGCAACUGGAAUUCUCGGUGUAGCGGUGAAAUGCGUAGAUAUCCGGAGGAACACCGGUGGCGAAGGCGGCUUCCUGGACCGACACUGACGCUGAGGCGCGAAAGCGUGGGGAGCAAACAGG